This 68-nucleotide transfer RNA is filed under the name Marmota monax (woodchuck). Its description in RNAcentral is "tRNA.Ala". The stretch from base 5 to 65 matches the Rfam family "tRNA", at positions 6 to 65 of the family's 71-position model. From Rfam's summary of the family: Transfer RNA (tRNA) molecules are approximately 80 nucleotides in length. The record is from RNAcentral. Lineage: Eukaryota; Metazoa; Chordata; Mammalia; Rodentia; Sciuridae.
GGAUUGUGGCUCAGUGGUAGAGCACUUGCCUAGCACGUGUGAGGCACUGGGUUCAAUCCUCAGCACCA